Long non-coding RNA from Magnolia sinica, 1060 nucleotides. RefSeq lists it as uncharacterized. The record is from RefSeq and is a predicted model, not a curated record. Lineage: Eukaryota; Viridiplantae; Streptophyta; Magnoliopsida; Magnoliales; Magnoliaceae. The transcript is spliced from 3 exons.
AUAUGAAUAUAUAUAGGUCUCAAGUCUGAUUGUACGUUGCUUCCUAUGGUGUGCUCCACCUGAAUCUUGGAUCAGCAUGAUUAUUGGGAAGGUACGGUGAAAAUGACGAGACGCGCAAGAUUCAUGGUUCAGAUUCCACAUACACAUCAUAGGUGGGCUCCAAACAGCUACGCUUCGAUUGAUCAGUCCCCAUCUACAUAUAUCAAAGGCUAUCUCAAAACACAUUCAUUUAAGAUCACCAGCCAAAAACCUGUGCAAUCUACCAUUAACCUCAAUCAUGCUACAACCAGCUGUUUUACUAAUCCCUGCAUCAUUCAUCACUGCCCUCCAUCAUGGAUUUUAUAUGAUUUUAUUAAGAAGGUUUUUGUUAGAUUUGUGCUUUAUUAGGAGUUUAAAACAGAAUUCCUGCUAUGUUCUUGGAAAUUGGUACAGGAAAAAAAGCGGCGUGGACAGAGGACCAGACCAUUUCUUAAAGGAAGCGCUCCUGCCCAAUUAGCAUUUUUUGCAAGCUGAAUACCCUAUGUGUGCAUCUGUAGCAUGUAGCAUUCUUUCUCUCCCUUUUAAUUUUUUUUUUUAAUAGGUUGCACAGUUUGAUUUUCUUCGGCACAGUUGCAGUCAAACACCUAUAGUCAAUAUAGCAGUAGUUCCCUCUUAACUAAUAAAGAUCACAUGCACAGCCAUGAAAGCCUACCUGAUCACCUAAGAAGAAGAUGCCCAUGAAUUUUUGAGGUCAGCUGUUUAAACUAUUUCUGGAGUUUAUGCUGCAUCCAUCUGGACAUAUAUUUUAUCAUUUCAAAUGCAUGUAAUGAUAUCCUGUUAAUGGGUGAUUUUGGCAGGUAUGCUAUUGAUACAAUGCAAUCUCUGUGCCUUAAGGAAGCUGGUGCAAAUGCAACGGACUCUUUAGCAGGGGAAACUACUCUUAUACAACUGAUUUUCGGGGGUUACCUUCGAUUUAAGAUAAGGUGCAUGAAAUGCCAAAGAAAGUCUGAGAAGCAUGAACGGAUGAUGGAUCUAACUGUUGAGAUACAUGGGGAUAUUGGAACUCUUGAAGAAGCACUUG